UCCACGGGAGGCAGCAGUGGGGAAUUUUGGACAAUGGGCGAAAGCCUGAUCCAGCAAUGCCGCGUGUGUGAAGAAGGCCUUCGGGUUGUAAAGCACUUUUGUCCGGAAAGAAAUCAUUGGCUCUAAUACAGUCGGGGGAUGACGGUACCGGAAGAAUAAGCACCGGCUAACUACGUGCCAGCAGCCGCGGUAAUACGUAGGGUGCGAGCGUUAAUCGGAAUUACUGGGCGUAAAGCGUGCGCAGGCGGUUUGCUAAGACCGAUGUGAAAUCCCCGGGCUCAACCUGGGAACUGCAUUGGUGACUGGCAGGCUAGAGUAUGGCAGAGGGGGGUAGAAUUCCACGUGUAGCAGUGAAAUGCGUAGAGAUGUGGAGGAAUACCGAUGGCGAAGGCAGCCCCCUGGGCCAAUACUGACGCUCAUGCACGAAAGCGUGGGGAGCAAACAGGAUUAGAUACCCUGGUAGUCCACGCCCUAAACGAUGUCAACUAGUUGUUGGGGAUUCAUUUCCUUAGUAACGUAGCUAACGCGUGAAGUUGACCGCCUGGGGAGUACGGUCGCAAGAUUAAAACUCAAAGGAAUUGACGGGGACCCGCACAAGCGGUGGAUGAUGUGGAUUAAUUCGAUGCAACGCGAAAAACCUUACCUACCCUUGACAUGGUCGGAAUCCUGCUGAGAGGUGGGAGUGCUCGAAAGAGAACCGGCGCACAGGUGCUGCAUGGCUGUCGUCAGCCCGUGUCGUGAGAUGUUGGGUUAAGUCCCGCAACGAGCGCAACCCUUGUCCUUAGUUGCUACGCAAGAGCACUCUAAGGAGACUGCCGGUGACAAACCGGAGGAAGGUGGGGAUGACGUCAAGUCCUCAUGGCCCUUAUGGGUAGGGCUUCACACGUCAUACAAUGGUCGGAACAGAGGGUUGCCAACCCGCGAGGGGGAGCUAAUCCCAGAAAACCGAUCGUAGUCCGGAUUGCACUCUGCAACUCGAGUGCAUGAAGCUGGAAUCGCUAGUAAUCGCGGAUCAGCAUGCCGCGGUGAAUAAAGUCCCAUGCCUUGUACACACCGC
RNAcentral lists this ribosomal RNA (1057 nucleotides) under uncultured Burkholderia sp. RNAcentral describes it as "bacterial SSU rRNA". It matches the Rfam family "Bacterial small subunit ribosomal RNA", at positions 338 to 1393 of the family's 1533-position model. The record is from RNAcentral. Lineage: Bacteria; Pseudomonadati; Pseudomonadota; Betaproteobacteria; Burkholderiales; Burkholderiaceae.